UUUCUGCUGGGUUGAUAUUGCAUGACGGUAUACGUAUUAUCAUGUACUUGAAAACUCGUAGCUGCAGUUUGGCGUUCCCCAAGAUCAGUGGACCACAACGCCUCAGCCUUUCAUAAUGACUUCUUGAUGUAAUGGCCGCUACGCCCUUUCUGGUAUCUCCAAGACCAGUGGACCUCAACGCCUCUAACUUUGGGUAUUGAAUAGCCAGCCAUCCUUAAUAAACUUUAUAAGUCAUGGAAGCUACACAAAUUAUGCAAUC
Lytechinus variegatus (green sea urchin) is the source of this 259-nucleotide long non-coding RNA. RefSeq lists it as uncharacterized. The transcript is spliced from 3 exons. The record is from RefSeq and is a predicted model, not a curated record. NCBI's taxonomy places the organism in Eukaryota, Metazoa, Echinodermata, Echinoidea, Temnopleuroida, Toxopneustidae.